This 253-nucleotide ribosomal RNA is filed under the name uncultured bacterium. RNAcentral describes it as "partial 16S ribosomal RNA". It matches the Rfam family "Bacterial small subunit ribosomal RNA", at positions 524 to 776 of the family's 1533-position model. The record is from RNAcentral.
UACGUAGGGGCCGAGCGUUGUCCGGAGUUACUGGGCGUAAAGCGCGCGCAGGCGGCUCGUCAAGCCUGACGUGAAAGCCCCCGGCUCAACCGGGGAGGGUCGUCGGGGACUGGCGGGCUUGAGGUCGGCAGGGGUUGGUGGAAUUCCCGGUGUAGUGGUGAAGUGCGUAGAGAUCGGGAGGAACACCCGUGGCGAAGGCGGCCAACUGGGCCGGACCUGACGCUGAGGCGCGAAGGCGUGGGGAGCGAACGGG